GUGAGGAAUUUUGCGCAAUGGGCGAAAGCCUGACGCAGCAACGCCGCGUGGACGAUGAAGGUCUUCGGAUCGUAAAGUCCUGUCGAGCGGGAAGAAGAGUGCGACUCCUAAUACGAGGCGCCCUUGACUGUACCGCCAGAGGAAGCCCCGGCUAACUCCGUGCCAGCAGCCGCGGUAAUACGGAGGGGGCCAGCGUUGUUCGGAAUUAUUGGGCGUAAAGGGCGCGUAGGCGGCCGGACAAGUCUGACGUGAAAUCCCUCGGCCCAACCGAGGAACUGCGUUUGAAACUGUCCGGCUUGAGUCCGGGAGAGGGUAGUGGAAUUCCCAGUGUAGCGGUGAAAUGCGUAGAUAUUGGGAGGAACACCGGUGGCGAAGGCGGCUACCUGGACCGGCACUGACGCUGAGGCGCGAAAGCCAGGGGAGCAAACAGGAUUAGAUACCCGGGUAGUCC
This 451-nucleotide ribosomal RNA is filed under the name uncultured bacterium. RNAcentral's name for it is "bacterial SSU rRNA". It matches the Rfam family "Bacterial small subunit ribosomal RNA", at positions 354 to 796 of the family's 1533-position model. The record is from RNAcentral.